GACGAACGCUGGCGGCGUGCGUAACACAUGCAAGUCGAACGAGAGAGUGAGAGAAGCUUGCUUUUCUUAUGAUCGAGUGGCAAACGGGUGAGUAACGCGUAAACAACCUGCCCCGCAGAUGGGGACAACAGCUGGAAACGGCUGCUAAUACCGAAUACGCUCCUCUUAGCGCAUGGUAAGAGGAAGAAAGGGUGGCCUCUGGAACAAGCUACCGCUGUGGGAGGGGUUUGCGUCUGAUUAGCUGGUUGGAGGGGUAACGGCCCACCAAGGCGACGAUCAGUAGCCGGUCUGAGAGGAUGAACGGCCACAUUGGAACUGAGACACGGUCCAGACUCCUACGGGAGGCAGCAGUGGGGAAUCCUCCGCAAUGGGCGAAAGCCUGACGGAGCAACGCCGCGUGAGUGAAGACGGCCUUCGGGUUGUAAAGCUCUGUUAUAGGGGACGAACGGCCGGGUAGCGAAGACCGGCAUGACGGUACCGUAAGAGAAAGCCACGCUAACUACUGCCAGCAGCCGCGGUAAUACGUAGGUGGCAAGCGUUGUCCGGAAUGAUUGGGCGUAAAGGGCGCGCAGGCGGCUGUGUAAGUCUGUCUAAAAAGUGCGGGGCUAAACCCCGUGAGAGGAUGGACACUGGACAGCUGAGAGUGUCGGAGAGGAAAGCGGAAUUCCUAGUGUAGCGGUGAAAUGCGUAGAUAUUAGGAGGAACACCGGUGGCGAAAGCGGCUUUCUGGACGACAACUGACGCUGAGGCGCGAAAGCCAGGGGAGCAAACGGGAUUAGAUACCCCGGUAGUCCUGGCCGUAAACGAUGGGUACUAGUGUAGGAGGUAUCGACCCCUCCUGUGCCGGAGUUAACCAAUAGUACCCCGCCUGGGGAGUACGCCGCAAGGCUGAAACUCAAAGGAAUUGACGGGGCCCGCACAAGCGGUGGUAGUAUGUGGUUUAUUCGACGCAACGCGAA
Molecule: ribosomal RNA, 959 nt
Filed under: Megasphaera geminata
Lineage: Bacteria; Bacillati; Bacillota; Negativicutes; Veillonellales; Veillonellaceae
Description: bacterial SSU rRNA
Rfam family: Bacterial small subunit ribosomal RNA
Source: RNAcentral